Long non-coding RNA from Oreochromis niloticus (Nile tilapia), 279 nucleotides. RefSeq lists it as uncharacterized. The record is from RefSeq and is a predicted model, not a curated record. The transcript has 4 exons. NCBI's taxonomy places the organism in Eukaryota, Metazoa, Chordata, Actinopteri, Cichliformes, Cichlidae.
UGUGGUUCUACUGGUGUUACUGGUUCUGCUGGUGAGACGAUGUGUUCACAGGAAACCUGAAGAUGGAAAAGUAGCUGAAGAAGAUGACAUCAUCAGUUAUGUCAUGUACUGUGAUGUCAAAACAUCAGAACUUCAAAAACAGCCAAUCAGACGAUGCAGAGACAGAAAUUCAGCUGCAGUCGACUCAGCAGUGAGAACUGAAGAUGUCAGCUAUGAACAAACAUACAUCAGAACAAGGAGGCCCAGACUUUAAACCAGAGCCAGACGUCGUCUACUCUU